GCCCUUCGGGGUGGAUUAGUGGCGAACGGGUGAGUAACACGUGGGCAAUCUGCCCUUCACUCUGGGACAAGCCCUGGAAACGGGGUCUAAUACCGGAUAACACUCUGUCCCGCAUGGGACGGGGUUAAAAGCUCCGGCGGUGAAGGAUGAGCCCGCGGCCUAUCAGCUUGUUGGUGGGGUAAUGGCCUACCAAGGCGACGACGGGUAGCCGGCCUGAGAGGGCGACCGGCCACACUGGGACUGAGACACGGCCCAGACUCCUACGGGAGGCAGCAGUGGGGAAUAUUGCACAAUGGGCGAAAGCCUGAUGCAGCGACGCCGCGUGAGGGAUGACGGCCUUCGGGUUGUAAACCUCUUUCAGCAGGGAAGAAGCGAAAGUGACGGUACCUGCAGAAGAAGCGCCGGCUAACUACGUGCCAGCAGCCGCGGUAAUACGUAGGGCGCAAGCGUUGUCCGGAAUUAUUGGGCGUAAAGAGCUCGUAGGCGGCUUGUCACGUCGGAUGUGAAAGCCCGGGGCUUAACCCCGGGUCUGCAUUCGAUACGGGCUAGCUAGAGUGUGGUAGGGGAGAUCGGAAUUCCUGGUGUAGCGGUGAAAUGCGCAGAUAU
This 606-nucleotide ribosomal RNA is filed under the name Streptomyces anulatus. RNAcentral describes it as "bacterial SSU rRNA". It matches the Rfam family "Bacterial small subunit ribosomal RNA", at positions 75 to 697 of the family's 1533-position model. Lineage: Bacteria; Bacillati; Actinomycetota; Actinomycetes; Kitasatosporales; Streptomycetaceae. The record is from RNAcentral.